This is a long non-coding RNA of Silurus meridionalis, 1167 nucleotides long. RefSeq lists it as uncharacterized. The record is from RefSeq and is a predicted model, not a curated record. The transcript is spliced from 8 exons. Lineage: Eukaryota; Metazoa; Chordata; Actinopteri; Siluriformes; Siluridae.
UUGGCGGUGUGCACGCGCUUUCACGUUUCAGGUGUUUCUCAAGAUUAGCGCGUGCAUCCGAAGAAGAAGUAUGAAAAGUUUUGGAGGUUCUAUGAGAAGGUCUGGUCCAACAUACCCUUUAAAAUCAUCUCUAAUAAAACGAGGAUCAUGGUCCUGUGUCCUGCUUUGGCUCUAAAGACUUCAUCUGACUGAGCUGAACACGGUGGAGCAACAGGAGCCAAUUAAUCAUACCCGAAAUUAAUCAGACCUUAAUGGUUUAUGUUUUGAAAAACCUAAAAUGCACCACUGCAAACAAACAGGUGAAGUCAGGUACUGAUGUAGGUGAGGUGAGGAGGCCUGGGGGGUUGGGGGCUCAGCGUUCCAGUUUAUUCCAUAGAUGUUCAACAGGGUUAAGGUCAGAGUGUAUCCCAAUAUUUUGGCAAUAAGCACAUUUCUCCGGUUGGCUGUAUGGGGAGGCGGUCGCUCAGUGCAUUGGAUUGUGGAUCAGAAGUUGAAGCGAGAGAGCUGGACAGAACAGAUUCUGGUGCUACGAUCACCUGAAGUGCAUUUGUGCCUAAACGAUGAAAACAGACGUUGACCAGAGAGACUCAGCUGUCACCUUGAUCAGGAGGGAAAAAGAGGACAAAAACAAAAACAUCAAAGCCCUUUUUUAUAUAUGCAAGCACAUGGAUGGCUUGGCUUGGUCUGAUUCCACGUGCCGUCUUUGGAGCAGUAGAGUGUCCCCCGUCCUGGAGGGUCCAUGAUGUAACCAGGGUUACAGUGAUAACGAACCGUCUUAUUGAAGACAGGAGGUCUCGGUGCUAACCGGUGCAGUCCGGAGCUGAGCCAGUCCAUGUGCCGUUGGUGGUGCAGUGGCGAGUGGUGAGGCCUGUGGUCUUGUAGCCCUCCCAGCAGGCGUACGAGACCGAGCUGGAGAAGAGCAUUCCUUCACUGAAUACGAUCCUAGCGUAGGCUGGAGUUCCAGGAUUCCCACAAGACACAGCUGGGAAAGUCAAUGUGAAAACAGAGUAACUACUGUGUAAGUUUGUUUUUAAUGAGAAGAAACUCCCUGAGACGGCAUAAGGAAGAAACCUUGAGAGGAACCAGACUCAAGAGGGAACCUCAUCCUCGUCUAGGUUACAUAUACACCAGUAUCUAAAGUAUCUUAAUAAAGUUGAAAAUUGCCAA